CAGUCGCCACGGUAAUACGGAGGGGGCUAGCGUUGUUCGGAAUUACUGGGCGUAAAGCGCACGUAGGCGGACUGGAAAGUCAGAGGUGAAAUCCCAGGGCUCAACCUUGGAACUGCCUUUGAAACUAUCAGUCUGGAGUUCGAGAGAGGUGAGUGGAAUUCCGAGUGUAGAGGUGAAAUUCGUAGAUAUUCGGAGGAACACCAGUGGCGAAGGCGGCUCACUGGCUCGAUACUGACGCUGAGGUGCGAAAGCGUGGGGAGCAAACAGGAUUAGAUACCCGCGUAGUCCCUGUCUCUUAUAC
RNAcentral lists this ribosomal RNA (301 nucleotides) under uncultured bacterium. RNAcentral describes it as "partial 16S ribosomal RNA". It matches the Rfam family "Bacterial small subunit ribosomal RNA", at positions 509 to 807 of the family's 1533-position model. The record is from RNAcentral.